Non-coding RNA from Schistosoma rodhaini, 46 nucleotides. The record is from Rfam. Lineage: Eukaryota; Metazoa; Platyhelminthes; Trematoda; Strigeidida; Schistosomatidae.
UCACUGCUGAGGAGUUCCACAAUAGGACGAAACGGCCGUCCAGUGC